Molecule: ribosomal RNA, 119 nt
Organism: Lepisosteus oculatus (spotted gar)
Lineage: Eukaryota; Metazoa; Chordata; Actinopteri; Semionotiformes; Lepisosteidae
Source: Ensembl
GCUAGCAGCCAUAUCACCCUGCAACUCACAACUGGCAACCCACUGAAGCUAAGCAGGGCUGAGCCUGGUCUGUUCCUGGUUGAGAGACCACCUGGGAAAACCUGUGGUUGCUGCUGGAA